Molecule: ribosomal RNA, 446 nt
Filed under: uncultured bacterium
Lineage: Bacteria
Description: bacterial SSU rRNA
Rfam family: Bacterial small subunit ribosomal RNA
Source: RNAcentral
AUUUGGCGGACGGGUGAGUAACACGUGGGCAACCUGCCUGUAAGACUGGGAUAACUCCGGGAAACCGGAGCUAAUACCGGAUAACAUUUUCUCUUGCAUAAGAGAAAAUUGAAAGAUGGUUUCGGCUAUCACUUACAGAUGGGCCCGCGGUGCAUUAGCUAGUUGGUGAGGUAACGGCUCACCAAGGCAACGAUGCAUAGCCGACCUGAGAGGGUGAUCGGCCACACUGGGACUGAGACACGGCCCAGACUCCUACGGGAGGCAGCAGUAGGGAAUCUUCCGCAAUGGACGAAAGUCUGACGGAGCAACGCCGCGUGAGUGAUGAAGGCUUUCGGGUCGUAAAACUCUGUUGUUAGGGAAGAACAAGUACAAGAGUAACUGCUUGUACCUUGACGGUACCUAACCAGAAAGCCACGGCUAACUACGUGCCAGCAGCCGCGGUAAUA